UACGGAGGGGGCUAGCGUUGUUCGGAAUUACUGGGCGUAAAGCGCACGUAGGCGGCUUUUCAAGUCAGAGGUGAAAGCCCGGGGCUCAACUCCGGAAUUGCCUUUGAAACUGGAUCGCUUGAACACGGGAGAGGUGAGUGGAAUUCCGAGUGGAGAGGUGAAAUUCGUAGAUAUUCGGAGGAACACCAGUGGCGAGGGCGGCUCACUGGACCGUUGUUGACUCUGAGGUGCGAAAGCGUGGGGAGCAAACAGG
RNAcentral lists this ribosomal RNA (253 nucleotides) under uncultured bacterium. RNAcentral describes it as "partial 16S ribosomal RNA". It matches the Rfam family "Bacterial small subunit ribosomal RNA", at positions 524 to 776 of the family's 1533-position model. The record is from RNAcentral.